AAUCCAUAGUGAAGGCAUUCUCUGCGGUAGUCAUUGAAACGCUCCCAUGCGUCGUAAAAAGGCUCAUCAAUGAGCCGUCUGAAAGAGGUGAUCUAUGGAAACCGAAAUU
This is a non-coding RNA of Brassica oleracea var. oleracea, 109 nucleotides long. The record is from Rfam. Lineage: Eukaryota; Viridiplantae; Streptophyta; Magnoliopsida; Brassicales; Brassicaceae.